GGUUUUCAGUUCUCUGUUGGGGAUUCCUAUCUGCGUUGUCCUCCAGAGGCUGACUUUGAUGACGAAGCCGAGGCACGGAGCUGUGUAGUACCUAGUCCAAGGUUCCCAUGGUGGCAGUCUAGGCUUGAUCUCCAGAUAUGCUCAUGGCUGGACUGCUUGGGUGACAGAUUCGCUUAAAUAUGAGAGCAGACCUGAUCACUCAGAAGGACAAGGAGGAGCUG
Leptonychotes weddellii (Weddell seal) is the source of this 221-nucleotide non-coding RNA. The record is from RefSeq and is a predicted model, not a curated record. Lineage: Eukaryota; Metazoa; Chordata; Mammalia; Carnivora; Phocidae.